AUCCAUCUGACGAAUCCCAAACAGGACGAAACACCUGUCUUAUAU
Molecule: non-coding RNA, 45 nt
Filed under: Schistosoma curassoni
Lineage: Eukaryota; Metazoa; Platyhelminthes; Trematoda; Strigeidida; Schistosomatidae
Source: RNAcentral